AAUAGAUACCCGGGUAGCCCACGCCGUAAACGAUGAGUGCUAGGUGUUAGGGGGGUCCAACCCCUUAGUGCUGAAGUUAACACAUUAAGCACUCCGCCUGGGGAGUACGACCGCAAGGUUGAAACUCAAAGGAAUUGACGGGGGGCCCGCACAAGCAGUGGAGCAUGUGGUUUAAUUCGAAGCAACGCGAAGAACCUUACCAGGUCUUGACAUCCUCUGACAACCCUAGAGAUAGGGCGUUCCCCCUUCGGGGGACAGAGUGACAGGUGGUGCAUGGUUGUCGUCAGCUCGUGUCGUGAGAUGUUGGGUUAAGUCCCGCAACGAGCGCAACCCUUGAUGUUAGUUGCCAGCAUUAAGUUGGGCACUCUAACGUGACUGCCGGUGACAAACCGGAGGAAGGUGGGGAUGACGUCAAAUCAUCAUGCCCCUUAUGACCUGGGCUACACACGUGCUACAAUGGGCGGCACAAAGGGCAGCGAAACCGCGAGGUCGAGCGAAUCCCAUAAAGCCGCUCUCAGUUCGGAUUGCAGG
Molecule: ribosomal RNA, 531 nt
Filed under: uncultured bacterium
Lineage: Bacteria
Description: bacterial SSU rRNA
Rfam family: Bacterial small subunit ribosomal RNA
Source: RNAcentral